RNAcentral lists this ribosomal RNA (301 nucleotides) under uncultured bacterium. RNAcentral's name for it is "partial 16S ribosomal RNA". It matches the Rfam family "Bacterial small subunit ribosomal RNA", at positions 509 to 809 of the family's 1533-position model. The record is from RNAcentral.
CAGCAGCCGCGGUAAUACGGAGGGGGCUAGCGUUGUUCGGAAUUACUGGGCGUAAAGCGCACGUAGGCGGUUUUGUAAGUCAGAGGUGAAAGCCCGGAGCUCAACUCCGGAACUGCCUUUGAGACUGCAUCACUUGAACGUCGGAGAGGUGAGUGGAAUUCCGAGUGUAGAGGUGAAAUUCGUAGAUAUUCGGAAGAACACCAGUGGCGAAGGCGGCUCACUGGACGACUGUUGACGCUGAGGUGCGAAAGCGUGGGGAGCAAACAGGAUUAGAUACCCCUGUAGUCCCUGUCUCUUAUAA